UCCCACCCUGGCAGAGCUGUGUCAGCUGGGUCUGAGGCUCUUUCCUUGGGGCAGCUCCAGGGUGAAGGCAAGCUGCUGUGUGUGGCACCUCUAAAUGCCUUUAGGAAGCUACUGAAAUAGUUUGACUUCAGGAAAAAUGCAGGGGGGAGGACAUGUUGUCAGUGAGAAUGGUUUGCUGCCUCCCGAGUAAAGAAGAAAAAACAGGACCCUGCAAGCCCUGUGCUGGCCAAAGCUUCAGCACAGCCCUGGGUGAGUUCCUGCUUCUUGCAGUGGCAGACUGAAUGUUUGACCUUAACCUUUCAAAAAGGACAGAUUUGGCUUCCUUGCCUCUAUCCCUUGGGUUUCAACUUUCCACAGCCAGAAGAAUGGUUUGGAGCAGUGGAGCUAAGAUUUCCACAGAGGUGCCAGUGCAGGACGAGGCACUGCCUUUGCCAAGCCAAUGUCCUGCUGAUCGUACCAGGGCUCCUCUUCCUCGCUCUGAAACUCCUCCAUCCUGUCGGCGCUCAGCAUUUAGCACCAGCGGCUCGGGGAGACGCGGAGCAUCCGCCGGCGGGGACCCCGCGCCGCCGAGAACGCGGAGCGGGGCUGGUUGCGGGGAUGCGGGCAGGGAUGCGGCCUCGGUGCCCCGGCAGGGAAGCUGGGGGCGGGUGGCACGACGUGGCACCCGGCUCCUCGCUGCUGCCCCGGCUCUGCCUGCCUAGGGAGGGCCUCUUCCUCCUGCCUCCGAGACCAGAGGAGUCUCCGUGGGGAAUGAAGCGGGGACGUGGCGGGGGGGGAGCACGGCUUGCACAGGGCUGGGGGAUGCACAAAGGAAGGAAGAGGGCCCGGCGCAGCCCGGCAGAUCCUCUCUCUGCAGCUCGGUGGAGACCUCUAGCAUGGAAAUGCUGCAAGGAAACCCGGCGAGAGAGAAGGGGGAGGCGAGGCGAGGCCGGCCGCCGCCUCCUCCUCCUCCUCCUCUCCGCCCAGCCCUCCCGCGGAGCUGCAGGGAGUGAGGUUUGGGGAUGGCAAGGUGGGGGUGACUCGGGCUGCACGGAGGACGGAGUUG
Pogoniulus pusillus (Red-fronted tinkerbird) is the source of this 1045-nucleotide long non-coding RNA. RefSeq lists it as uncharacterized. The transcript has 4 exons. The record is from RefSeq and is a predicted model, not a curated record. NCBI's taxonomy places the organism in Eukaryota, Metazoa, Chordata, Aves, Piciformes, Lybiidae.